RNAcentral lists this long non-coding RNA (693 nucleotides) under Felis catus (domestic cat). RNAcentral describes it as "lncRNA (ENSFCAG00000052301.1)". The record is from RNAcentral. Lineage: Eukaryota; Metazoa; Chordata; Mammalia; Carnivora; Felidae.
CUAGAGAUGAUUGGUUUUGCAUGUAUUCACUAUUUAAUACCCAUUAAGCCCACAACAGAUAAAAUGCAACACCCUCACUGAAAAUCCUUGAAACCAGAACUCCAGGCCUCAGUUAUAUAGCUAACAAAAGGUGGAAUCUGAACUCUUAAAUGUAAACAUCGCUGGGAUAUUAAUAAUUCAUGCCUUGCCAGAAACAACUAAAUAGGAAACUUUCCUGAGGGGGUGGUUAGAAAUAUCACUCAAUUUCACCUGUGGCAUAGAGAAGAGAAUUGAAAGAUUUUUAUUUAUAGUAGUAUUGAUUCAAAAUAUUUUCUAUUAAUAAUUGAUGGGUAAGACAAUGAUGAGUUUGCAAACAAAGCAGAUGGAAUCAGGUUAGAACUGGAGAGUGUCUCAUAAACCCUCUUUCUCUACAGAGAGAAAACUGGAAACAUGAAUAUUUCAGGGACACGGUGAGUAAGUUGUGAGUCAGGACUAACACUUGGAUGUCUUGACUCCUCAGAUCAGCCCCCAUCAUCCCACCACCUCUCAUGGGCACAAAGAAACCAGAUGGCAUACGAUUUGGUUCAUGAGCAUCAGGAUUCAAGGGGAAAGGACAAAGAAGAUGACUGGUCAGCCUUCCUCCCUUUCCACAGCCCUUUUAUUUGUGCCCUUCAUCCACUCCAGAAAACAAAGCAUCCAAAUACAGCCCGCUGA